This 462-nucleotide ribosomal RNA is filed under the name Triticum aestivum (bread wheat). RNAcentral describes it as "partial small subunit ribosomal RNA". The record is from RNAcentral. Lineage: Eukaryota; Viridiplantae; Streptophyta; Magnoliopsida; Poales; Poaceae.
AUGGGGGAUGGGGAGUUCCAGGUAUGCUCAGCUCAGUUGGUUGCACACACUGGAGGUGGAAGAACUGCCCUGCAGCUCAAAUGCCAUGCGAAGGAUACCACCAUCAUUCUUGAAGCCAUUGUAGAUCAGGAGACAUGGCUUUGGAUGCCUAGAGCUUGCAAUGACAUCAAUGUGCUCCACCGAUCAACACUAUUUGCACGGUUAUCCAAUGAGGAAUCACCACCGGUGGAGUUUCAAGCAAAUGGCCACACAUACAAGGGGUACUACCUAGCAGGUGGGAUAUACCUAAAGUGGGCAACCUUUGUGAUGCCAUUUCCCAGCCCCCAAGGUAAGAAACAACUUGGUUUCCAUAGUGCUCAAGCAGAUGAUAGGAAGGAUGUAAAGAGGAUAUUUGGGAUUAUGCAAGCCCAGUUUGCUAAUUUGCAGGGACCGGCUCGGUUUUUUGAGCAAGAAAUCCUUUAG